This 468-nucleotide ribosomal RNA is filed under the name uncultured bacterium. Its description in RNAcentral is "partial 16S ribosomal RNA". It matches the Rfam family "Bacterial small subunit ribosomal RNA", at positions 28 to 507 of the family's 1533-position model. The record is from RNAcentral.
GACGAACGCUGGCGGCGUGCUUAACACAUGCAAGUCGAACGGAAAGGCCCUGCUUUUGUGGGGUGCUCGAGUGGCGAACGGGUGAGUAACACGUGAGUAACCUGCCCUUGACUUUGGGAUAACUUCAGGAAACUGGGGCUAAUACCGGAUAGGAGCUCCUGCUGCAUGGGGGGGGUUGGAAAGUUUCGGCGGUUGGGGAUGGACUCGCGGCUUAUCAGCUUGUUGGUGGGGUAGUGGCUUACCAAGGCUUUGACGGGUAGCCGGCCUGAGAGGGUGACCGGCCACAUUGGGACUGAGAUACGGCCCAGACUCCUACGUGAGGCAGCAGUGGGGAAUAUUGCACAAUGGGCGGAAGCCUGAUGCAGCAACGCCGCGUGCGGGAUGACGGCCUUCGGGUUGUAAACCGCUUUCGCCUGUGACGAAGCGUGAGUGACGGUAAUGGGUAAAGAAGCACCGGCUAACUACGUG